UUCGGCUUGCUUAAAGGGGCCGUAGCUUGCCACGAAAGUCUAUCGGGAAAUCCACCCGCCCAACGGGUGGGCGUCCGGUAGAAACUACGUGGCUUGGAACCGGAAGGCUCAGAGAGUACGUCCGGGGUAGGAGUGAAAUCCCGUAAUCCCGGACGGACUACCGAUGGCGAAGCACUCUGAGAAGACGGCUUCGACAGUGAGGGACGAAAGCUCGGGUCUCAAACCGGAUUAGAUGCCCGGGUAGUCCGAGCCGUAAACGAUGCUCGUUAGGUGUGGCACCCACUACGAGUGGGUGCUGUGCCGCAGGGAAGCCGCUAAACGAGCCGCCUGGGAAGUACGUCCGCAAGGAUGAAACUUAAAGGAAUUGGCGGGGGAGCACUACAACCGGAGGAGCCUGCGGUUUAAUUGGACUCAACGCCGGACAUCUCACCAGCCCCGACAUCAGUAAUGACAGUCAUGUUGACGACAUCCGCCCGAGCUGAUGAGAGGAGGUGCAUGGCCGCCGUCAGCUCGUACCGUGAGGCAUCCUGUUAAGUCAGGCAACGAGCGAGAUCCACGUCCCUAAUUGCCAGCACCACCGCACGGUGGGUGGGUACAUUAGGGAGACUGCCAGUGCUAAACUGGAGGAAGGAAUGGGCAACGGUAGGUCCGCAUGCCCCUAAAAGC
This 666-nucleotide ribosomal RNA is filed under the name uncultured archaeon. RNAcentral describes it as "bacterial SSU rRNA". It matches the Rfam family "Archaeal small subunit ribosomal RNA", at positions 497 to 1164 of the family's 1478-position model. The record is from RNAcentral.